RNAcentral lists this ribosomal RNA (138 nucleotides) under uncultured eukaryote. RNAcentral describes it as "partial 18S ribosomal RNA". It matches the Rfam family "Eukaryotic small subunit ribosomal RNA", at positions 1299 to 1458 of the family's 1831-position model. The record is from RNAcentral.
UGGUGGAGUGAUUUGUCUGGUUAAUUCCGUUAACGAACGAGACCUUAACCUGCUAAAUAGUUAUGCGAACUCUGGUUCGUACUUAACUUCUUAGAGGGACUGUGGAUGUUUAAUCCACGGAAGUUUGAGGCAAUAACA